UACGUAGGCAGCGAGCGUUGUUCGGAAUUACUGGGCGUAAAGAGUGUGUAGGCGGUGCUCUAAGUUCGGUGUGAAAUCUCCCGGCUUAACUGGGAGGGUGCGCCGGAAACUGGAGUGCUCGAGCGUGGGAGAGGAAAGCGGAAUUCCUGGUGUAGCGGUGAAAUGCGUAGAUAUCAGGAGGAACACCUGCGGUGUAGACGGCUUUCUGGACCAUAGCUGACGCUGAGACACGAAAGCGUGGGUAGCAAACAGG
Molecule: ribosomal RNA, 253 nt
Filed under: uncultured bacterium
Lineage: Bacteria
Description: partial 16S ribosomal RNA
Rfam family: Bacterial small subunit ribosomal RNA
Source: RNAcentral